UUGGAUAUAAAUAAUUUUAAAAAAAUUGGCAUUUGGAUUUUGGCCAUUCACUUAACUUCUUCUUUUUACAAUAGAAAAACAUCAAAUAAAAAUAUAUGAUCAACUCCAACAAGGUUACAUUGCUAUUGGAUAGUGAAAAUGGCCCCUCAAUAGUUAAUGGGAACUUUGUCUACCAUGAAAUGGACUUGAAACAUAUAGCUAUUGGCUCCAUUUGCAACAUGGCCAUAAUAUCAAGUAGUUACAUUUGCAACUACUCUUGUACCACACAUAUCAACUUACUCUUUAGCCAUUACUGAAAUACAACUAAGAUGAAGCUGAUUAUAACAUACAUAAAAAAUAAAAAAAAUAAAAAAGAGCUUGAAAACUAGAAGUUACUGUUUAAUGUUUGUUAUGAACCUUGUAUAUAUGUGAAAAACAAGUAUAAAUAGGACUAAAUAUAUAUUUUAGAACUCACAUUUUCAUUUUAGAGCCCACGAUAUUCAAAUUCCGAAUCUAAAUUGUUUGUUUGAUAUUCCUUCGAUCUCAAAUUAUCUGUCGUGUUUUUUUUGCAUGCUCCUUAAGAAAAUAUUAAAUAGAAUUUUUUUUGACCAUUUUAACCUUAUUAAUGUCUUAAGAUAUAGUCUCUCUUCAUUUAAUACUUGCUCAUAAUUAAAGUAUUUGUAAUCGUCAAGAACAAUUAAUAUUAAGUGUAGAAUAGGAAAAAUAAUAAUUAAUUUACUUUUGAACUUCUAAAUGACAAACAAUUUGAGACAAUAAUUUUUAGAAAUCACGACAGAUAAUUUAAGACGGAGAGAGUACUAGAAAUAUUUUCAUGGAAAAAGGGAGGAAAAAAAAGAAAGAAAUGGAAGUUAGAAUAGCAAGUUGUUAUUUAGGAGAUGUGAAAGAGUUUGCAUUGGAAUUCAAAGAAAUAAUCAUGCACAAAAAAUUUUAAGCAAAUAAUAAUAACAUGGUCAAAUUACCUUCCCCAUGACCAAAAACCAUAUCCCAAGAAACUUCCCAAAAAAUACAAAAGAGCACCCAUCUUUCCUGCACCAAAGCAGCAAAAAUUCAGGCAUGCAGAAUGCAGGCAUACAAAAUGAAUAAUGCAUGUGCAAGAAAGAAGAAACAAGAACAAGUGGCUAAUAUAAACUCCAAAUUAUAUAUUUACAUAAAUUAGUACUAUUGAUGUCUCUUUUCCUCUAGCUUUAUUGUUUGGACUCUCCAAAAAUAUUAUCAUGCACUUGUUUGAUUUCCCAAAAGUAGUAUACAUGUUUAGAGAAUCCGUCGUAGACGUGACAACUUUAAAGAGUCUACACACAGGGCAAAGCUAGGUAGGCAAAAGGGUGUUCAGCCUUCAUCAAAAAUUACUGGUAGGCAAAAGGGUGUUCAGCCUUCAUCAAAAAUUACUGGUAGGCAAAAGGGUGUUCAGCCUUCAUUAAAAAUUAUAUUGUGUAUAUAAGAUUAAUUUUAUAUUUUAUGUAUGUAUACAACAUAAACUCUGGCUUGUGUGGCAUCUUUUCAUGGACAAAAGAGGUUCAAACAGUACUAAGAUAGGCAAAUCAAACAUAAGAGAUUAUGUUUGAUCCAAUAUACUAAAUUCUUUUCAUCUUCCACCAUAAAUAAACAAAAGGUGUUAUAGGUGUCUAAUCAUAACUUUUCAACCCUAUCUUUUUGUCCACAUGCAAAAUUACACUUACCUAUUAAACAAACACAAUACAAACCUUCUUGACUUGGUUAAUUAGCUGGUAGCUGUCUCCAAUUAAUAAUUUAAUUGCAUGUUGAUCCCAUAUGUUUAACUUUAAACCAACAGUGUCUGAAUAAUUGAAGAGCUUGACCCUCUAAAAGUAAAGCAAACAAAUACCAAUAAACUAACGUAAAAUUUUAAGCACUAACCUAGAAUCUUACAGCAAAUAAAGGAAGAUUACAACUUUUUCUUUUCUUUACUUUUUAGGAUAACAACUUUAAUAAUGAGAAUUAUUGGAACAUAAUAAGAAAUUACAAAACUCUCCAGAAAAUAUCACUGCUGGCUUGUUCAUUGCUUUGAAUGUAUUCAUUAUCAACUUCUGUAAUUCCAGCUAUGUUAAAACUAGAUCCUGCAAAAUAAUAAAUAAAUAAAUCCAAAUUUUUGUGUUACUUUAAUGUUAAUUAUAAUUCAGUACAGAUGUGUCCGACCUGGCUAAAAAAAUGGACCAAGCAACUUAAAUUAAACAAAAACAAUAGUAUAUAAAAUAUUUAUUAAAAUGUUCUUUAUUCCAUCCAAAGAACAGGCAACAACUGUUGGUCUGAUAUAAAGGAUGUCAGCCUUAACAAGACAAAACAAUAUAGUAUAUGUUCCUUGCUACAUAGUUGUCUUUGCCAUUGUAAGGAAAAAAAAGGACCAUAAUAUUUCUUUUCUUUUAGCAAUUUUAAUUCUUCUGCAAGAUUUUGACUUCGCUUGUUUCUUUCCCUAGGUGAAAAAUCAAAAAAGAAGAGUGUACAUUUGCUUGGUUAAAUUUGCUAGCCUAGUCCAGUCUGGUCUGACAUCCAUGAAUGCACACACUAUUUCUUUUUUCACUUUGGCCGGACUAAUUCAGAUUCAGAUUGGACUAUUAUUUACUUGACUCACCUAAUUCAGAUUCAUAUUGAGUAACCUACUCAGAGGCGGAGCUAGCCCAUCGACUAAGAGUUCGGCCGAACCCAAUUGUUUAUGUCCAAACCAUAUAUUUGUCUUACGAUAAAUGAAUAUGUAUAAAUUACUAUUAUUUUAGAACCCAAUAAUAAUAAUUUAAUUAAAAGGACAAAAACUCUUUUAACUCUUUAAGCUCUAAAUCUUGGCUCCACCUUUGGACCUACUAAUAGUAAGUCCACUAAUGGAGUAAAGUACUCUCCCACUUGAAAGUUUUUCUACUCUCAGGGUUCGAAGACAGUUUUAAUUAAGGGCGGAGAGAUAUCAACCAUCUCACUACACUCUUCGAUCAGGUGGUUGCAUAAACAAUUUCCCUACAUUAUGCUUUACUUAGUCCAUAUAAAUGGCCUCUAAUGUGGGCAUAAAACAUAGUUGGCUAGCAAGAUUCCAAAUGAGAGGGCAAUGCCUUGUGGUCCAAAUAAACAUUCAAUAGUAGCACAUUCUUGAUCACAUAAUUCACAAGCUAUGAGGUGAAAUGGUGGUCAUGCAUUUCCCUUUAUCUUAGCCUAUAAAAGAAAAGAGGUGGAAAAUAAAUAAGCUCAAGAAGAGUACUAAAAAUUAGAUCACAUUAGAAAGUUAGAUACUAUAUAGUAGUAUAUACUAGUAUAUAUAUAGUGCCCAAGCAAGCAAGAAACCAUGAAUUUAAUGUAGGAAUAAGACUAUUGACUAAGAAAUAGGAUUUUGUAUGUAAAACUAUUGCCAAUUAAAUUGAAAGGUAUAGAAAUUGCUUUCCACAACAUAGUGAUUCUAAAUGUCAUGUGUAUAACCCCAUGUAUUCUCUUUUUAUUUAUCUAAGUCCUAUACCCCAUUUUGGAUCUUGCUUUUCAAGAACAAUAAGCCAGAGAUCCUGUGAUGGGUGCGAACAACAACAACAAUAGCAUUUAAGUAUAAUCUCACAAGCGAAAUCUGGUGAGGAUAGUAUAUUUGCAAUUUUACCCUGCCCUUGUGUUGGCAGAGAGGCUAUUUCCGACGAACCCUAAUCUCAAAGCAAGCCUCAAGGCUCAAGGCUUAAAAAAGAUAAUAUUCAGGAUUAGAAUUAACAUGUGCAAGAACUCAAGGCUCCAAUUACAAUUUAAAAAGCGAAUUAAAGCUGUGCUUUAUAUAGAAUAAUUUAUAGCAAUUUAUAGUCAUAAACUCAUACAAUAAGAUCUUAAUCCAAGAAUUGUAUCACAUAAGUACUAAAAACUGAGAAGGAAAUGAAGAUAAAUAUCAAGGACAUCCAAAUUUUGAUCACCAAAAACCAAAUUUGUUGUAAAUCAGUAAAUCCCAAACAUAUAUUGCCACAGAAAAAUUAUCUGUAUAGAUCAAACCCAUCCAGACACACAACACAUAGAAAUAAAAUCAGAGAAAUAUCCCCUGAAAAAGAACCUUAAACAGUAGAUCAUUAUGAACACCUUUUAAUUUCCUGCAAAACAAUAAUAAUCACAAUAAUAACUUGUCAGUAAUAACAGUAAAAAAAAUUCUUUCUAUAUAUAGAAAGUUCACCAAAAAACAAACAUGGAUCUAACCAUGCAUCAAUAUAAAGAAAAUCAAAAUCUGUAACUGAAAAUUCAGGAAUUGUAAUUUCUUGACACUAUCUGUAUCUUCCCACAACUUUAUUGAACCGCAACAAUUUUUUUUUUUAUUUUCACCUCCAAUAAUGAUAAUUGGUUAUAUAUGGUGUGAAUUUUCUAAUAUAUAUGCAGUUCAAGAAAGCUGUGGAAAAAUACAAAG
This 4357-nucleotide long non-coding RNA is filed under the name Nicotiana tabacum (common tobacco). RNAcentral describes it as "long non-coding RNA (NTAB_LNC007680)". The record is from RNAcentral. Lineage: Eukaryota; Viridiplantae; Streptophyta; Magnoliopsida; Solanales; Solanaceae.